This 989-nucleotide ribosomal RNA is filed under the name Microbacterium sp. HPCKc-19. RNAcentral describes it as "bacterial SSU rRNA". It matches the Rfam family "Bacterial small subunit ribosomal RNA", at positions 478 to 1466 of the family's 1533-position model. Lineage: Bacteria; Bacillati; Actinomycetota; Actinomycetes; Micrococcales; Microbacteriaceae. The record is from RNAcentral.
CCUGCAGAAAAAGCGCCGGCUAACUACGUGCCAAGCAGCCGCGGUAAUACGUAGGGCGCAAGCGUAAUCCGGAAUUANUGGGCGUACAACUUGGUAGGCGGGUUGUCGCGUCUGCUGUGAAAUCNCGAGGCUCAACCUCGGCUGCAGUGGGUACGGGCAGACUAGAGUGCGGUAGGGGAGAUUGGAAUUCCUGGUGUAGCGGUGGAAUGCGCAGAUAUCAGGAGGAACACCGAUGGCGAAGGCAGAUCUCUGGGCCGUAACUGACGCUGAGGAGCGAAAGGGUGGGGAGCAAACAGGCUUAGAUACCCUGGUAGUCCACCCCGUAAACGUUGGGAACUAGUUGUGGGGUCCAUUCCACGGAUUCCGUGACGCAGCUAACGCAUUAAGUUCCCCGCCUGGGGAGUACGGCCGCAAGGCUAAAACUCAAAGGAAUUGACGGGGACCCGCACAAGCGGCGGAGCAUGCGGAUUAAUUCGAUGCAACGCGAAGAACCUUACCAAGGCUUGACAUAUACGAGAACGGGCCAGAAAUGGUCAACUCUUUGGACACUCGUAAACAGGUGGUGCAUGGUUGUCGUCAGCUCGUGUCGUGAGAUGUUGGGUUAAGUCCCGCAACGAGCGCAACCCUCGUUCUAUGUUGCCAGCACGUAAUGGUGGGAACUCAUGGGAUACUGCCGGGGUCAACUCGGAGGAAGGUGGGGAUGACGUCAAAUCAUCAUGCCCCUUAUGUCUUGGGCUUCACGCAUGCUACAAUGGCCGGUACAAAGGGCUGCAAUACCGCGAGGUGGAGCGAAUCCCAAAAAGCCGGUCCCAGUUCGGAUUGAGGUCUGCAACUCGACCUCAUGAAGUCGGAGUCGCUAGUAAUCGCAGAUCAGCAACGCUGCGGUGAAUACGUUCCCGGGUCUUGUACACACCGCCCGUCAAUCAUGAAAGUCGGUAACACCUGAAGCCGGUGGCCUAACCCUUGUGGAGGGAGCCGUCGAAGGGGGA